This 1701-nucleotide long non-coding RNA is filed under the name Zea mays. Its description in RNAcentral is "long non-coding RNA (ZMAY_LNC001157)". The record is from RNAcentral. Lineage: Eukaryota; Viridiplantae; Streptophyta; Magnoliopsida; Poales; Poaceae.
UAAAAGUGUGAUCAUGAAUAAUGUAUAUCUCUAUACCCAAAACCACAUAAAGCAAUAGCAGGUACUACCCAAAAAUUCAGUGGUAAACAAGGUAUAAAGAUAGCCAAACUAGAGUAACCUAUUGGGUCCCAUCAAAAUUAACCUAUGCAAAUCAUUAUGAUUAAUAAGAACAUGAUUGGGUAAAAAUAAGUAAUCAAGGAAACAACUUGCCUGGGACUUGAGAUUCCAGGUACCAACUUGCUCUUCAGGUGACUCGUAACCUCGCUGCUAGUCGUAGCAAUACAGACAAACAUGGUAUAGGCAAAAUUAACAUUACACCAAACAUAAGAACAAAUUGCAUAAUAAUAAUCUACGCGUCGCUACGAGAUAGUGAGUUCGAGAACUACUAAAAUCAGAGUUAUGGUUAUAGAGUUAUGAUUUUCUAAAAAUUUGGGUGAUCUAAAUAAUAAAUUAUGUUCUAUAUUUCAUGUGAUAGAGGCAUUACAAAUACAUAACUCAAGUGGAUCUCGUUCUAAGUUAUAAAUUAGUUAGACAUCAUGUCUUAGUUAAAUUAUAGCCAUAAAAUCAGAAUACUAUAUUAAUAUUAGAAAAGCUAAUCCGAUAAACAUAGAUUGAUCCAGUUAACAUAGGGUAACCAAGUUAAUUAUUUACAAUAUGUCUCAUGAUAAAAUAAGGUUACCAAAGUGCAUAUAAUUUUAUUAUGAAGCUAACGCAACUGGAAUGAGUUAGAUCAGAGCUAAAGUGUGGUAGUUAUGAUUUUCUGAAUAAUUAAGUGCUUGGUAUAGAAUAAGUUAAGUAGACAAUUUUAAUAUAUGUUUCAUGUCUAAAUAGAGUUACUAGGUGAUAAACAACAUUAAAAAAAUUAAUGCCACUAGAAUGGGUUAAUUCGAAAUUAAAACAAAGAAGUUAUGGAUUUCCGAAGUUUUAAGUGUUGGAUUAAAAGAAACUAAGUGUAUAAUUUUUAAUCUAAGUUUCAUAACAAAGUAAAGUUACUGGAUGAUAAACAAUAUUAAUAUGAUUCUAAUGCAUCUGGAAUAAAUUAAUUCGGAGCUAAAAUGAAUUAAAUAUGAAUUAAAUAAGAUUCUAGGUUUAUUUCUAUACUAGAAAACAUUUUCUGGAUUAUUUUAUUCCAUUUAUUCACUUAUGGGCUACAACCACUAUUUACGAAGAGUUCAGGGUGCACCUUAUAAAAACCAGGGGCCUUCUUUCAAUGUUCUUUAAAUUGACCUGGACUGCGGGUUCAUUCAUAAAAAGAGUGGGGUUUCUUUUGCAAAACUGGCUAUCCGAAGGGGUAUUGUGUGAUUUGAGCCGUAGGAUCGGAGUUCUGUGGCUGAGAUUAGAUCGACCAAUAACAAUCCCGAUAUUCUAUGAUGGCCAUUGGAUCGGGGAUCGACGAACCGCAGUGACCCACACCAUCAUAUGACCGGAGCCUUCGAUUUCCAUAUCGGUUGUCUCGAUUUAAAGCACAAAGGGGUAUGCGUAGGAUCUAAUCGGGGUCGUCCUUUUCAGAUCUUGCGCCCACAACACCGUCUUCUUUCGUUUCCAGCCGAAGGCACCAGUGCCCAAAGGCUAGCCACGGUGGCUGGUGAGGCCAUGCCGAGCCACAGGUCCACGGAUUCGAUGUCUAUUACUGCUACAACACGCGGAGAACAUGAAGAGCAUGAGGGAGGAUGACAUACCGGUGUCUGGCACGUGGAUUAU